RNAcentral lists this long non-coding RNA (216 nucleotides) under Ananas comosus (pineapple). RNAcentral describes it as "long non-coding RNA (ACOM_LNC037678)". The record is from RNAcentral. Lineage: Eukaryota; Viridiplantae; Streptophyta; Magnoliopsida; Poales; Bromeliaceae.
CACUAGCGGAAACAUACACAAACGGCUUACACAAGGGUAAGCAAUAGCCAUUAGUGAAAGAAAGAAAAACUAAACAUCUACACAAGUAAUAUGAUUCAUUUUAGAUCAUAUACAUUGCAUCCAUCUUUUACAUUUAGGAUUCUUUGCAUUUCAUUACAUAAUUUCAUCAUUUCUUUCUUACAUCACAUUUACCUCAAAAUAAGCUUUACAUUCUUU